UGGGGAAUAUUGGACAAUGGGCGCAAGCCUGAUCCAGCCAUGCCGCGUGAGUGAUGAAGGCCCUAGGGUUGUAAAGCUCUUUCACCGGUGAAGAUAAUGACGGUAACCGGAGAAGAAGCCCCGGCUAACUUCGUGCCAGCAGCCGCGGUAAUACGAAGGGGGCUAGCGUUGUUCGGAUUUACUGGGCGUAAAGCGCACGUAGGCGGACUAUUAAGUCAGGGGUGAAAUCCCCGGGCUCAACCCCGGAACUGCCUUUGAUACUGGUAGCCUUGAGUUCGAGAGAGGUGGGUGGAAUUCCGAGUGUAGAGGUGAAAUUCGUAGAUAUUCGGAGGAACACCAGUGGCGAAGGCGGCUCACUGGCUCGAUACUGACGCUGAGGUGCGAAAGCGGGGGGAGCAAACAGG
RNAcentral lists this ribosomal RNA (404 nucleotides) under Actinomycetes bacterium. Its description in RNAcentral is "Actinobacteria bacterium partial 16S ribosomal RNA". It matches the Rfam family "Bacterial small subunit ribosomal RNA", at positions 355 to 776 of the family's 1533-position model. Lineage: Bacteria; Bacillati; Actinomycetota; Actinomycetes. The record is from RNAcentral.